GGGUCGGAGCUCAGUGGUAGAGCAUGUGCUUAGCAUGUGACAGGCCCUGGGUUCGAUCCCCAGUACCCA
Molecule: transfer RNA, 69 nt
Filed under: Marmota monax (woodchuck)
Lineage: Eukaryota; Metazoa; Chordata; Mammalia; Rodentia; Sciuridae
Description: tRNA.Ala
Source: RNAcentral